GUUGACCUCGGAUCAGGUAGGGAUACCCGCUGAACUUAAGCAUAUCAAUAAGCGGAGGAAAAGAAACCAACAGGGAUUGCUCUAGUAACGGCGAGUGAAGCAGCAAUAGCUCAAAUUUGAAAUCUGGCGUCUUCGGCGUCCGAGUUGUAAUUUGUAGAGGAUGCUUCUGGGCAGCCACCGACCUAAGUUCCUUGGAACAGGACGUCAUAGAGGGUGAGA
Molecule: ribosomal RNA, 219 nt
Filed under: Cladosporium sphaerospermum
Lineage: Eukaryota; Fungi; Ascomycota; Dothideomycetes; Cladosporiales; Cladosporiaceae
Description: partial 28S ribosomal RNA
Rfam family: Eukaryotic large subunit ribosomal RNA
Source: RNAcentral